RNAcentral lists this ribosomal RNA (224 nucleotides) under uncultured Lactobacillus sp. RNAcentral describes it as "partial 16S ribosomal RNA". It matches the Rfam family "Bacterial small subunit ribosomal RNA", at positions 138 to 355 of the family's 1533-position model. Lineage: Bacteria; Bacillati; Bacillota; Bacilli; Lactobacillales; Lactobacillaceae. The record is from RNAcentral.
UCGGGAUAACACCUGGAAACAGAUGGCUAAUACCGGAUAACAACAGAUGAUGCCUAUCAACUGUUUAAAAGAUGGUUCUGCUAUCACUCUUGGAUGGACCUGCGGUGCAUUAGCUAGUUGGUAGGGUAACGGCCUACCAAGGCGAUGAUGCAUAGCCGAGUUGAGAGACUGAUCGGCCACAUUGGGACUGAGACACGGCCCAAACUCCUACGGGAGGCAGCAGC